Molecule: ribosomal RNA, 301 nt
Filed under: uncultured bacterium
Lineage: Bacteria
Description: partial 16S ribosomal RNA
Rfam family: Bacterial small subunit ribosomal RNA
Source: RNAcentral
CAGUCGCCGCGGGAAUACGAAGGGGGCUAGCGUUGCUCGGAAUUACUGGGCGUAAAGGGAGCGUAGGCGGACAUUUAAGUCAGGGGUGAAAUCCCAGAGCUCAACUCUGGAACUGCCUUUGAUACUGGGUGUCUUGAGUGUGAUAGAGGUAUGUGGAACUCCGAGUGUAGAGGUGAAAUUCGUAGAUAUUCGGAAGAACACCAGUGGCGAAGGCGACAUACUGGAUCAUUACUGACGCUGAGGUGCGAAAGCGUGGGGAGCAAACAGGAUUAGAUACCCCAGUAGUCCCUGUCUCUUAUAA